Molecule: ribosomal RNA, 398 nt
Filed under: Scopulariopsis candida
Lineage: Eukaryota; Fungi; Ascomycota; Sordariomycetes; Microascales; Microascaceae
Description: partial small subunit ribosomal RNA
Rfam family: Eukaryotic small subunit ribosomal RNA
Source: RNAcentral
GCUUGUCUCAAAGAUUAAGCCAUGCAUGUCUAAGUAUAAGCAAUUAUACCGCGAAACUGCGAAUGGCUCAUUAUAUAAGUUAUCGUUUAUUUGAUAGCACAUUACUACUUGGAUAACCGUGGUAAUUCUAGAGCUAAUACAUGCUAAAAAUCCCGACUUCGGAAGGGAUGUAUUUAUUAGAUUAAAAGCCAACGCCCUUCGGGGCUCUGUGGUGAUUCAUAAUAACUGGUCGAAUCGCAUGGCCUUGCGCCGGCGAUGGUUCAUUCAAAUUUCUUCCCUAUCAACUUUCGAUGCGAGGGUCUUGUCCUCGCAUGGUUGCAACGGGUAACGGAGGGUUAGGGCUCGACCCCGGAGAAGGAGCCUGAGAAACGGCUACUACAUCCAAGGAAGGCAGCAGG